AUAUACGACCGUACCGCAAACCGACACUGGUGCGCGAGAUGAGUAUUCUAAGGCGCUUGAGAGAACUCAGGAGAAGGAACUCGGCAAAUUGACACCGUAACUUCGGAAGAAGGUGUGCCCUAUUAGUGUGUAGUGAACAACGAAGCAUGAAUGGGUUGCAAAAAAUCGGUGGCUGCGACUGUUUAUUAAGAACACAGCACUCUGCAAACACGAAAGUGGACGUAUAGGGUGUGACGCCUGCCCGGUGCUGGAAGAUUAAAUGAUGGGGUGCAAGCUCUUGAUUGAAGUCCCAGUAAACGGCGGCCGUAACUAUAACGGUCCUAAGGUAGCGAAAUUCCUUGUCGGGUAAGUUCCGACCUGCACGAAUGGCGUAACGAUGGCCACACUGUCUCCUCCUGAGACUCAGCGAAGUUGAAAUGUUUGUGAUGAUGCAAUCUCCCCGCGGAAAGACGGAAAGACCCCAUGAACCUUUACUGUAGCUUUGUAUUGGACUUUGAACAGAUCUGUGUAGGAUAGGUGGGAGGCUUUGAAGCAGGGUCGCUAGAUCUUGUGGAGCCAACGUUGAAAUACCACCCUGGUGUGUUUGAGGUUCUAACCUAGGUCCAUUAUCUGGAUCGGGGACAGUGCAUGGUAGGCAGUUUGACUGGGGCGGUCUCCUCCCAAAGCGUAACGGAGGAGUUCGAAGGUACGCUAGUUACGGUCGGACAUCGUGACGAUAGUGCAAUGGCAUAAGCGUGCUUAACUGCGAGACUGACAAGUCGAGCAGAUGCGAAAGCAGGACAUAGUGAUCCGGUGGUUCUGUAUGGAAGGGCCAUCGCUCAACGGAUAAAAGGUACUCCGGGGAUAACAGGCUGAUACCGCCCAAGAGUUCAUAUCGACGGCGGUGUUUGGCACCUCGAUGUCGGCUCAUCUCAUCCUGGGGCUGUAGCCGGUCCCAAGGGUAUGGCUGUUCGCCAUUUAAAGAGGUACGUGAGCUGGGUUUAAAACGUCGUGAGACAGUUUGGUCCCUAUCUUCCGUGGGCGCUGCAGAUUUGAGGAAGCCUGCUCCUAGUACGAGAGGACCGGAGUGGACACACCUCUGGUGUAUCGGUUGUCACGCCAGUGGCAUUGCCGAGUAGCUAAGUGUGGAAGAGAUAACCGCUGAAAGCAUCUAAGCGGGAAACUCGUUUCAAGAUGAGAUCUGCCGGGGCCUUGAGCCCCCUAAAGAGUCGUUCAAGACCAGGACGUUGAUAGGUCAGGUGUGGAAGC
RNAcentral lists this ribosomal RNA (1248 nucleotides) under metagenome. RNAcentral describes it as "bacterial LSU rRNA". It matches the Rfam family "Bacterial large subunit ribosomal RNA", at positions 1634 to 2874 of the family's 2925-position model. The record is from RNAcentral.